Molecule: long non-coding RNA, 603 nt
Organism: Zophobas morio
Lineage: Eukaryota; Metazoa; Arthropoda; Insecta; Coleoptera; Tenebrionidae
Exons: 3
Source: RefSeq, a predicted model, not a curated record
AUAAAUUUUGUUCUUUUAAAAUUGAUGAAAACGGUGAUUUGACCAACCGAGAAAAAUGAAGAAUUAAAUUGAUAUUGUGAAGUACUACUUUUUUAGCUGUUCUUAUCAGCUCGAAGUGAAAGGUCAUAUUGAAAGCAGAAGCAAAUAAACUAAAUAAAUCACCAAUACUGACUUAAUUUCAGUAAAGAAUCCGUAACUUGAGACGUUGGUGACGAGACAACAAAAAUAAAAAUAAAAUGAAAGUGCUUAUCUUAGUUAUAACUGUGAUUUUUAUAAAAACAGAGGCUUGGAUAGGUGUCAUAGAGUUUAACGGCAAUUAUACAAGUCAUUGUUAUGCAGAACAAUAUAACAUCGGUUCAAUGGAAGAGAACGAAACAAGGCGCAUUCAAGGAUUAUGUGCAGAGGCCGUAUGUCAAAAAGAUAGAAGUAUUAAGUUAACAGGAUGUGCACCUAUGAUGGUAAAACCACCUUGCUACAUGGUUGAUGGCAAUAUAUCAAAACCAUUCCCUACUUGCUGUUAUGAGAUACGUUGUGAUAAAUCCAGUUAAACCAUAGAAUUCAAUUUUGUCUAAAGUUAACGACAUUAAAUAAAUUGUAUUCCAA